This 45-nucleotide non-coding RNA is filed under the name Schistosoma margrebowiei. Lineage: Eukaryota; Metazoa; Platyhelminthes; Trematoda; Strigeidida; Schistosomatidae. The record is from RNAcentral.
AUCUAGAUGACGAGUCCCGAAUAGAACGAAACACACGUCCUGGAU